UGGGGAAUAUUGCACAAUGGAGGGAACUCUGAUGCAGCGACGCCGCGUGAGUGAUGAAGGAAUUCGUUUCGUAAAACUCUGUUCUAUGGGAAGAAAAGGACUGUACCAUAGGAGAAAGCUCCGGCUAAAUACGUGCCAGCAGCCGCGGUAAUACGUAUGGAGCGAGCGUUGUCCGGAAUUAUUGGGCGUAAAGGGUGCGCAGGCGGCUUUACAAGUUGGAUGUGAAAUAUUGUGGCUCAACCACAAACGUGCAUCCAAAACUGCAAAGCUUGAGUUAAGGAGAGGUAAGUGGAAUUCCUGGUGUAGCGGUGGAAUGCGUAGAUAUCAGGAGGAAUACCGGUGGUGAAGGAGAAUUACUGGACUUAAACAGACAAACAGGCACGAAAGCGUGGGGAGCGAACAGG
RNAcentral lists this ribosomal RNA (404 nucleotides) under Fusobacteriota bacterium. RNAcentral's name for it is "Fusobacteria bacterium partial 16S ribosomal RNA". It matches the Rfam family "Bacterial small subunit ribosomal RNA", at positions 355 to 776 of the family's 1533-position model. The record is from RNAcentral. Lineage: Bacteria; Fusobacteriati; Fusobacteriota.